Molecule: long non-coding RNA, 357 nt
Filed under: Hordeum vulgare
Lineage: Eukaryota; Viridiplantae; Streptophyta; Magnoliopsida; Poales; Poaceae
Description: long non-coding RNA (HVUL_LNC017174)
Source: RNAcentral
AGAUAGACGAUUGUAGGCAUGCUGGAUGGCUGUAGCGGUUGUGGCUUGUCAGUAGUAUGUAUGUAUGUAUUCCAGGCUGCAAAUUGCAUUGGCAAUGUAGUAGUAGUGCACAAGAUAAUCAUAUGGAUGCAUGGUCUGGUUUGUAGUAGUAGUAGUGUAUGCUUAACUUAUCUGAUAUUGGUGAUUGUGACUUAUAACUUGUGUACUUUAUUAAUUAUAACCUAUCUGAUAUUGGUGAUUGUGACUUAUAACUUGUGUACUUUAUUAAUUAUAACCUGUGGUAUGCUUACCUGAUGUGAUAUUGGUAUAACUUGUGUGGUUUCUCCAUGUAAAAAAGAAGAAGAUUGUGUAUUCUUU